RNA transcript from Coregonus clupeaformis (lake whitefish), 996 nucleotides. It is a transcript of the gene named diacylglycerol kinase alpha-like, with no coding region annotated. The transcript is spliced from 4 exons. The record is from RefSeq and is a predicted model, not a curated record. Lineage: Eukaryota; Metazoa; Chordata; Actinopteri; Salmoniformes; Salmonidae.
ACUAACUGUAAGUCGCUCUGGAUAAGAGCGUCUGCUAAAUGACUAAAAUGUAAAAUGUAAUGGUCGCUGUGCCAACAAGAACCCUGAUCCAUGCGCCCACACAUUCGUUAAAUCCAAAAAUCAGAUUGGGGUGAGGCUCAAUUAUGAUUUAGACCUGAUAAGAGUCAGUUCCAUAUUUAAUUGUGAUUCAUCUGCACACCUGAUCAGUAUUAUGUCAAUUUCAAGAAUGUGUUUUCAAUCAGCAAAAUUGAAAACAUAAAAGUCUUCACAUCUUGCACUGGUGGCUAUAGUGUUGAUAGGUGUUUGUGGAUGUUGUCCCUCUGUCUGUCUGCUCCAGGUGCCAGAUCACGGCUGGGUCAUUGCUGACUGUGACUCCAGUAAGUGUCACUUCUGCAACAAGAAGAUCAAGACCCUGGCAGGGAAGCAUUGCUUGUGGUGCUAACAGAUGGAGAAGGAUGAAGAGGGAAGGAGGAAUUCCAUGGAGGACACUAGCCUAGAGGACAUCACCCCAGACGGGCACAUUCUGCAGAUUGCUCCAAUUCCAGACACCCACCCUCUCCUGGUGUUUGUGAACCCAAAGAGCGAAGGGAAGCAAGGGGAGGGAGUGCUGAGGAAGUUCCAGUAGUUACUGAACCCCCGCCAGGUCUACAAUCUCUCCAAUGGAGGACCUGGACCCGGGUAACUUCAAGUGCAGUUUGACCAUCAGGGUGGGAGGGAAGUGGACUGUACUAUUACAUAUGUUAUGUCAUUGUUAGGACAGUAUUAUGUAUGUCUUAUGUUGAAGGGUUAAUGUAAAGUGCUACCUUUUUUUAAUCAAUUUCCAAUUUGGGGAUCGGUGUGACAUAGUUAAAUUAUAUCUUAAUUCUUAUUAUCUGUUAUUUCCACUAUGAAUGUGUAUCAUUGUGUGCUCUUGCUUCGGCUUGCUCUUUGGAGUUUGGGCCGGGUGACUGUAAAAACACUUAGUGACAACUGCUGAUGUAAAAGGGGCUUUAUAAA